This 67-nucleotide microRNA precursor is filed under the name Bombyx mori (domestic silkworm). RNAcentral describes it as "mir-2774 microRNA precursor family". It matches the Rfam family "mir-2774 microRNA precursor family". Lineage: Eukaryota; Metazoa; Arthropoda; Insecta; Lepidoptera; Bombycidae. The record is from Rfam by way of RNAcentral.
ACAACAUUCGGACCGUCAGUCUACCGAGCAAUAUCACCCACUCGGUGGAAAAUCUUUCUUUCGUUGU